Marmota monax (woodchuck) is the source of this 2007-nucleotide long non-coding RNA. RefSeq lists it as uncharacterized. The transcript is spliced from 4 exons. NCBI's taxonomy places the organism in Eukaryota, Metazoa, Chordata, Mammalia, Rodentia, Sciuridae. The record is from RefSeq and is a predicted model, not a curated record.
CCACUCCUGCGCCCACCCACGCAGGGUCCCCGGCCCACGGCUGCUGCGCCAGGACUGGCAUGGGGCCAGGGCUUUGGAAGGAGGAAUCCACUGCCCCCACCAGGCACCGUGGAGAUGGCCCGGCCUUCCCCAGGGGAAGUGACUGACCUCAUAAAAGCAUAAACCAGAGGCUGCCCUGAAGCUGCUGGAGAUAAGGCCACCCUUGGCGGCCAGAUAAGCUGACGGUGGCAUCUGGGCCCUACAUGUGGUCCAGCACAGGCCCGGGGCAGAGGGCUUGCUGAGGGAGAUAAGGGGGAGACCCGGCCUUCCUGGCCGGCCUGCUCCGGGCACGAGGCAGUGGGGCCCACGUGGAAGGGCCCAGAAGGGCCGGGCUGUGGGGCUGGCCGCUGUCCCUGGGCUUGGGGGCAGUGGGCUUUGUUACUUGUUUGUGUUUUCUUGGUUGCAGGAAAGACAGCCCCCGGCCUGCAGCUCAGCGGUGACUGGUUUCUGUCCUCCUGUCCUCCCCGUCUGGCUGUGCUGGCCUCCCUCUGGGCAGACACCUCCCAGCCACCCUGCAGGAGGCCCCACCGACACCUCUGCUGGGCGGUUCUUCUCUCUUUCUUCAAGACGGAAGGUCAAGCAGGAGGGCCGCGAGCCAGCGUCACGGGGACAGGCUAAAAAUAGUCUCCUCACCACCGACCAGUCAGCCACCUGACCCCAGGAGGCAGCCGCUCGGCGCACAAAGGCCACCGUUUAUGGCCGCGGCUGUCACGGCCCGAGAACACCGUGCCCAAGGGGCCAUCGCGGGCCGCCUGGUGCUGCACUGUGGCAAGAUCCCAGAUGACCCCAGGCGAUCCCAGAGGAUCCCAGACGACCCCAGACGACCCCAGAGGAUCCCAGAGGAUCCUCUGGACGGUGCUUACAAGGCUGGUGCAGUGGGUGCCAACGGUCACUGUGUCGGUCAUCAGUGUGGCCACAGGACAGAACACAAGGUACCUGCCGCGUCCCAGGACCUCAGGGCGCCCUGCGGUUCUGAAGCCGUCCCUCGGGGCUGCCCGAGCAGCUGGCCUGCCCCCCGGGGGGCCACAGGCAAGUUCCUGCUGGGAGCAGCCCAGGCCCUGAAGGAGCCGGCACCCUCAGGACAGGCCGGAGACUCCCUAGAAGCAGGACGUGGGCAUCUGAAGCUGGGCACGGCCAGGGCCUGCUGCUGGAGGGCGGGGGGGGGGCUGGCAGGAGCCCUUGGCAGGCCCCAGGCCCUCGUUUGGGCUUGUAGGUGGGCUCUGAGCCCCCAGAUCUCCCACACGUCCCCAGACGGGGGCUCCUCCAGCCGAGAGCCACAAAGGCCACCGUGAACACGUGGAGCGUCGUCCAGCAGCUGCCCGGCCUGCAGGGGGCUCGGCCCCGUCAAGCCCCAUCGCAGCAGAGCUGCCCAGACCCGCCCGGCCCGGCCAGCGCUCUCUGGGUUCCCUUCUGAGGUCCAGGAAGGACGUUCCGUGGUGGCCCCGCAGGGGACUCGGGGGAAAUCAACAUCGUGCCAGCCCAGGAGAAGACCCUCGGAGCUCCAGAGCGCGCUGGCUCCCAGGGAGGGAAUUCAGAUGCGCUCCCAUCACCACCGACGUUAAUUGGUGUAGAGUAAAUUAUGGAAAUGCGAGGAGUCGUGCCUACCGCCUGCAUCUGUGAAACCGGGGUCCCUGGUCACGGCGCCCUCACACCCCAGGUGCCCAGAGAGGCUGCAGAAGCUCCAGCCUCCUCCCUUUGCCCUCUCUGAAAUGCCCUCUCCUCUGUUCUUGGAGAUGAAGCCCAAAGUCCAGCGUGGUUAGGAUGGGGUAGAGCCCAGUCUCCACGUCGGCCUAGCGCACAUGGCACCCGAGUUCUGCUCCUUUCCACCCAAAUCCCCCCGGGAAGCAAGUUCAUCGCUUCCACCUGACAGAUGACGCACAGAGAGGGUGUGGGGACCUCUGCAGGCUGCCCAGCCAGGAUUCGGCCCAGGCCCCUGGCCUCUCCGUACCAGGCCCGAGUGCAGACGGC